Molecule: ribosomal RNA, 253 nt
Filed under: uncultured bacterium
Lineage: Bacteria
Description: partial 16S ribosomal RNA
Rfam family: Bacterial small subunit ribosomal RNA
Source: RNAcentral
GACGUAGGAGGCGAGCGUUGUCCGGAUUUACUGGGCGUAAAGGGUGCGUAGGCGGGUCUUUAAGUCAGGGGUGAAAUCCUGGAGCUCAACUCCAGAACUGCCUUUGAUACUGAAGAUCUUGAGUUCGGGAGAGGUGAGUGGAACUGCGAGUGUAGAGGUGAAAUUCGUAGAUAUUCGCAAGAACACCAGUGGCGAAGGCGGCUCACUGGCCCGGUACUGACGCUGAGGUGCGAAAGCGUGGGGAGCAAACAGG